GGUCAGGUAGCUCAGUUGGUAGAGCAACGGAUUGAAAAUCCGUGUGUCGGCGGUUCAAAUCCGCCCCUGACCA
Molecule: transfer RNA, 73 nt
Organism: Phycisphaerae bacterium
Lineage: Bacteria; Pseudomonadati; Planctomycetota; Phycisphaerae
Rfam family: tRNA
About the family: Transfer RNA (tRNA) molecules are approximately 80 nucleotides in length.
Source: Rfam